GAUGAAGAACGUAGCGUAAUGCGAUACGUAGUGUGAAUUGCAGAAUUCAGUGAAUCAUCGAAUCUUUGAACGCACAUUGCACCUCUCGGUAUUCCGGGAGGUAUGCCUGUUCGAGCGUCAUUUGUACCCUCAAGCUCUGCUUGGUGUUGGGUGUUUGUUCCGCCUCUGUGUGUGAACUCGCCUCAAAACAAUUGGCAGCCGGCGUACUUGUUUCGGAGCGCAGCACAUUUUGCGAUCCAGAUCAACGUACAGCGGCAUCCAAGAAGCCUUAUUUAACGCUCUUGACCUCGGAUCAGGUAGGGAUACCCGCUGAACUUAAGCAUAUCAAUAAGCGGAGGA
Molecule: unclassified non-coding RNA, 339 nt
Filed under: soil metagenome
Description: partial contains 5.8S ribosomal RNA, internal transcribed spacer 2, and large subunit ribosomal RNA
Rfam family: 5.8S ribosomal RNA (bases 1-120)
Source: RNAcentral